GGUGCAUUCACGCGUUUGACGCGAACUCGCGUCUGCCGCCCGAGUUGAAAAAUCGGAACUUUGGCGUCAAUUCGCGCCGCGUUAACCAAUCAGGAGCCUAGCUGCUUGCUGCUGUCACGUAUCUGGAUGCUUCAAUAAAUUAUUUUGUAAUAUGA
Molecule: long non-coding RNA, 155 nt
Organism: Rhinichthys klamathensis goyatoka
Lineage: Eukaryota; Metazoa; Chordata; Actinopteri; Cypriniformes; Leuciscidae
Exons: 2
Source: RefSeq, a predicted model, not a curated record